GACGAACGCUGGCGGCGUGCCUAAUACAUGCAAGUUGAGCGCUGAAGGUUGGUACUUGUACCAACUGGAUGAGCAGCGAACGGGUGAGUAACGCGUGGGGAAUCUGCCUUUGAGCGGGGGACAACAUUUGGAAACGAAUGCUAAUACCGCAUAAAAACUUUAAACACAAGUUUUAAGUUUGAAAGAUGCAAUUGCAUCACUCAAAGAUGAUCCCGCGUUGUAUUAGCUAGUUGGUGAGGUAAAGGCGCACCAAGGCGAUGAUACAUAGCCGACCUGAGAGGGUGAUCGGCCGCAUUGGGACUGAGACACGGCCCAAACUCCUACGGGAGGCAGCAGUAGGGAAUCUUCGGCAAUGGACGAAAGUCUGACCGUGCAACGCCGCGUGAGUGAAGAAGGUUUUCGGAUCGUAAAACUCUGUUGGUAGAGAAGAACGUUGGUGAGAGUGGAAAGCUCAUCAAGUGACGGUAACUACCCAGAAAGGGACGGCUAACUACGUG
This 497-nucleotide ribosomal RNA is filed under the name uncultured bacterium. RNAcentral describes it as "partial 16S ribosomal RNA". It matches the Rfam family "Bacterial small subunit ribosomal RNA", at positions 28 to 507 of the family's 1533-position model. The record is from RNAcentral.